RNAcentral lists this ribosomal RNA (401 nucleotides) under Bradyrhizobium sp. R-45743=1532. Its description in RNAcentral is "bacterial SSU rRNA". It matches the Rfam family "Bacterial small subunit ribosomal RNA", at positions 20 to 447 of the family's 1533-position model. Lineage: Bacteria; Pseudomonadati; Pseudomonadota; Alphaproteobacteria; Hyphomicrobiales; Nitrobacteraceae. The record is from RNAcentral.
UGGCUCAGAGCGAACGCUGGCGGCAGGCUUAACACAUGCAAGUCGAGCGGGCGUAGUAAUACGUCAGCGGCAGACGGGUGAGUAACGCGUGGGAACGUACCUUUUGGUUCGGAACAACACAGGGAAACUUGUGCUAAUACCGGAUAAGCCCUUACGGGGAAAGAUUUAUCGCCGAAAGAUCGGCCCGCGUCUGAUUAGCUAGUUGGUAGGGUAACGGCCUACCAAGGCGACGAUCAGUAGCUGGUCUGAGAGGAUGAUCAGCCACAUUGGGACUGAGACACGGCCCAAACUCCUACGGGAGGCAGCAGUGGGGAAUAUUGGACAAUGGGGGCAACCCUGAUCCAGCCAUGCCGCGUGAGUGAUGAAGGCCCUAGGGUUGUAAAGCUCUUUUGUGCGGGAAG